UCAAAGAAAGCAUGGCAUUCUUUAUCGUUACACUCGUACUUUCUCUCUCUUAUGCGAUGGCCUGUGAUGGAUGCGUCCAUCGAUUAAAGCUGGGCCAUGUCGUUAUGGCUCCAUGGCAUUGCUUUCAAUUGUGGGGUACGUUGCUGCUGCUUUGUGCCGGAAGGAAUUGAUUGUUUUCAGGGCAUUAAGACAUCAUAUGAUAGCGAGUAUCUCCCAUCAUGAAUGCACAUCGAGGGGUGGAGUUGGCAUACGGAUGCAUCCGUAGCAAUAA
This is a long non-coding RNA of Amborella trichopoda, 271 nucleotides long. RefSeq lists it as uncharacterized. NCBI's taxonomy places the organism in Eukaryota, Viridiplantae, Streptophyta, Magnoliopsida, Amborellales, Amborellaceae. The record is from RefSeq and is a predicted model, not a curated record.